GGGAAAGCCAGGUUUGUACCUCUGAAAAAAAUGUUGGCAUAGUUUCUAAACAAACACUCUAAAGAUUCUCUAAUCUUCUUAGAGUCAGAAGUGAACUAUUUCCUUACUUAAGUACAAUUAGAAAUGGCUUAUUUUCUCAAUUUUAAAUGAGUUUCUGAAACAUAUCACAUGACACCAAGGAUGAGUGGAAAUUAGAAGCUGUUGCUGCUCUUUCUAGAUCAUGAAUCAUAGCUUUUUCUCUACAAUUUGCUGCAACUAAUGUCUGAAAUCUAAGGCCCCCAUCCUGAAUUAAAUUAUAAUUCAGAGUUAAGAGGACAUUACCCAAAUCAGCACUGUAGGGAUUCAUUUAUAUCAUGCAUGUAGUGAUAAAUUGGGAAAUCCUUGUGUAUUUAAGAUCUUCCUCUCUGAACAUUCGGAUAUCCCAUAACACUGCCUUUAGGAUAAAAAUAAGGUGAGGCAGGGGUUGGCCUGGAUUUGUUUUCAGACAUCUUAACCAACAUUUGGACCAAAUACAUAGAAAGCAUAAUACAUUUAUAUAUGUAUCAAUUAUUAUAUUCCCUAAAUAGCCAUAGUGAUGAAAGUCUCUGCAGUACACGUACUUAGUCUACUAGCUUUCUGGCUUUAUCUUUCCAUCCUCUUCAGACUUUGUGGGGUCCACUGUGUGGAUAUCUUGACUCAUGAAUUUUCUAGACUAAUUAUCCCAGCAGAUUUAAGCCUGUUGGACACUGGGGCACUGGUUGGUGCUGUUGUGACUGUUAAUGGGCAUAUACUCAGUAAGAUUUUUCCUUUCGUCUUGUUUUAUGUCCCAAGAGUUUGGCUAGGGGGUCAAAGAGAGGGUACCCCAAUAUGGGCCACUUUGGCAUUAAGACUAUUUUGAGCUGAAAGUAAUCAAGAUCCUGUGAACUCCAAAGAAACGUUUUGCCCUUCCCUUAACUACAUGAAAGAAUCUAAAUUAGAGGAGAUCUUUCCCAGAAUAAUGGUUAUUACCAGAGUUAAAGUUUAUUUGAGUGACCCAUCUGUAUACCAGGGCAAAAAUCUAACUACCAAACAUCUGCUUUUUUUCUUACUGCCCUGUCAAUGGCAUUUUUUCCCUUUGAAGUCCCAGACCCCUAUUCCAUUCCCCCGAGUUCAGGAUGACAUAUAUACCUCCUUUUGCCUGACUGUUUUUGGAAUUUCUGUGACUACGUGGAUUCCCCAUUUGUACACUAUUAAAUUUGAUUUUCUCCCUUUAAUCUGUCUCAUGUCGAUUUGAUUCUUAGUCCAGCUAGAAGGGCCUUUGAGGGGACAGGAAUUCUGGCUCCUUGACAGUUGGCAUAGUCAAAAGGAUGUUUUAAGUCACUGGACACCAGUCGCUCUGACGCUGCUGGAGCUGAAAUCUCCUGGGACAUCUGACACACAGCUGGCACAAGGACAUGAUUGGAAGCCUUAGUUAUAUUACAAAGGCUUUGGCUGGAAUGUCGUAUUUGAGAGAGGCGUGCAUAGACUCAGAUAUGAACAGACAGCUUUAAGGAACUAAGCCUGACUUUAUGGAGCCAAUAAAACCCCUUGGAAAAUAUCAGCCUGGUGCAUUCCUUACAAAGGUCCCAGCAGCCUCACCAGGUGAAUAAAGAAGGUCACUCCCUGGCAGGUGCAGGAAGCUCAGGAUGUUCUGGGGACCUCGAGAAGAGAGGAAUUCACCCAAGUCUUGUUCUCCAGUGCCAGGCUACAACUCUCCAAACUAAUGUUUUUGAAUGUUCUCCCACCUUUCUGACUUGGAAUCAUUUGAGAACUAAAACUUCCCUCUUCCUUGAAGCCCUGCAAACUUAAUAUAAAAUGGCUUGGUGUAAACUUCAGAGAAAUUGCCACAAUGGCUCAUGUCUAGACAAUCUUUGUACCUACUGCACUGUGGGCCACUCAACAGAUUGCUAGAGACAUGUGAGCUACAAACCAGGAGAAUCUGUCGCAUUGCCACGGCCUGCCUUCACUCUGUCUGAAGAUGCUCGGAGCCUGACAUCUAGAAGUCUUGUCAGUUGGCUGGCUCAGAACUCAGAGACAGGUUUAUAAUCUGAUCUAAUCAUUAACCGCUGCUUUUCUUUUAUUUCUUUUAUUUCCGUAGAAAGGCCUCUUAUCUAAUACCUGAUUACUUGAACCAUAGGCCUAGCUUGGAGAAACGCCACCUUCUGAAAUGAGUUCAACUAAGCUGACCUAUUAUCAAGACUCGGGGGGAGUGGUUCGGUGAGACAAAACAAUCUACCAGCUCAACUUUUAAUGUGUGAACCAUCAGGAAGUUUCAGGGGACGGAACUGUGAGGGCCAAAGACAGGCUGUCCCAAGAUGGGCCACUUUGGUAUGAAGACUGUUUUGAGCUGAAAGCAGUCGAGACCCUCUAGGUCAAGAGGAACUCCUUGCUCCUCCCUGAGCUGCAUAGGAGAAUCUAGAUUGGAAAUCUUUCCCAGAAUAAUGGUUAUUACCACAGAUACAUUUAUCUGCAUGACCCAUCUGUAGGGCAGGGCAGACAUCUAAGUACCAAACACCUGCUCCUUUUCUUACUGCCCUGUCAACUGCAUUUUUUCCCUUCAAAGUCCCAGACUCCUACCCCUUCUCCUCACCUCAGGAUGGCAUACAGACCUCAUUUGGCCUGACUGUCUUUGGAAUUUCCAUGUCUGUGUGGAUUCCCUGUAUGUAUGCUAUUAAAUUUGAUUUUCUCCUAUUGGUCCA
Molecule: long non-coding RNA, 2696 nt
Organism: Neofelis nebulosa (Clouded leopard)
Lineage: Eukaryota; Metazoa; Chordata; Mammalia; Carnivora; Felidae
Exons: 3
Source: RefSeq, a predicted model, not a curated record